ACGAACGCUGGCGGCGUGCUUAACACAUGCAAGUCGAACGGAAAGGCCCUGCUUUUGUGGGGUGCUCGAGUGCGAACGGGUGAGUAACACGUGAGUAACCUGCCCUUGACUUUGGGAUAACUUCAGGAAACUGGGGCUAAUACCGGAUAGGAGCUCCUGCUGCAUGGUGGGGGUUGGAAAGUUUCGGCGGUUGGGGAUGGACUCGCGGCUUAUCAGCUUGUUGGUGGGGUAGUGGCUUACCAAGGCUUUGACGGGUAGCCGGCCUGAGAGGGUGACCGGCCACAUUGGGACUGAGAUACGGCCCAGACUCCUACGGGAGGCAGCAGUGGGGAAUAUUGCACAAUGGGCGGAAGCCUGAUGCAGCAACGCCGCGUGCGGGAUGACGGCCUUCGGGCUGUAAACCGCUUUCGCCUGUGACGAAGCGUGAGUGACGGUAAUGGGUAAAGAAGCACCGGCUAACUACGUG
Molecule: ribosomal RNA, 466 nt
Filed under: uncultured bacterium
Lineage: Bacteria
Description: partial 16S ribosomal RNA
Rfam family: Bacterial small subunit ribosomal RNA
Source: RNAcentral